RNAcentral lists this transfer RNA (73 nucleotides) under Curvularia clavata. RNAcentral's name for it is "tRNA-Arg". It matches the Rfam family "tRNA". From Rfam's summary of the family: Transfer RNA (tRNA) molecules are approximately 80 nucleotides in length. Their secondary structure includes four short double-helical elements and three loops (D, anti-codon, and T loops). Lineage: Eukaryota; Fungi; Ascomycota; Dothideomycetes; Pleosporales; Pleosporaceae. The record is from RNAcentral. RNAcentral also lists the same sequence under 1 other name.
AUUCUUAUUAGUUUAAUGGUAGAACAAGAUACUUCUAAUAUCUGAAUCUAAGUUCGAAUCUUAGAUAAGAAUA